RNAcentral lists this ribosomal RNA (1426 nucleotides) under Mammaliicoccus sciuri. Its description in RNAcentral is "bacterial SSU rRNA". It matches the Rfam family "Bacterial small subunit ribosomal RNA". Lineage: Bacteria; Bacillati; Bacillota; Bacilli; Caryophanales; Staphylococcaceae. The record is from RNAcentral.
CUGCAAGUCGAGCGAACAGAUGAGAAGCUUGCUUCUCUGAUGUUAGCGGCGGACGGGUGAGUAACACGUGGGUAACCUACCUAUAAGACUGGGAUAACUCCGGGAAACCGGGGCUAAUACCGGAUAAUAUUUUGAACCGCAUGGUUCAAUAGUGAAAGACGGUUUCGGCUGUCACUUAUAGAUGGACCCGCGCCGUAUUAGCUAGUUGGUAAGGUAACGGCUUACCAAGGCGACGAUACGUAGCCGACCUGAGAGGGUGAUCGGCCACACUGGAACUGAGACACGGUCCAGACUCCUACGGGAGGCAGCAGUAGGGAAUCUUCCGCAAUGGGCGAAAGCCUGACGGAGCAACGCCGCGUGAGUGAUGAAGGUCUUCGGAUCGUAAAACUCUGUUGUUAGGGAAGAACAAAUUUGUUAGUAACUGAACAAGUCUUGACGGUACCUAACCAGAAAGCCACGGCUAACUACGUGCCAGCAGCCGCGGUAAUACGUAGGUGGCAAGCGUUAUCCGGAAUUAUUGGGCGUAAAGCGCGCGUAGGCGGUUUCUUAAGUCUGAUGUGAAAGCCCACGGCUCAACCGUGGAGGGUCAUUGGAAACUGGGAAACUUGAGUGCAGAAGAGGAGAGUGGAAUUCCAUGUGUAGCGGUGAAAUGCGCAGAGAUAUGGAGGAACACCAGUGGCGAAGGCGGCUCUCUGGUCUGUAACUGACGCUGAUGUGCGAAAGCGUGGGGAUCAAACAGGAUUAGAUACCCUGGUAGUCCACGCCGUAAACGAUGAGUGCUAAGUGUUAGGGGGUUUCCGCCCCUUAGUGCUGCAGCUAACGCAUUAAGCACUCCGCCUGGGGAGUACGACCGCAAGGUUGAAACUCAAAGGAAUUGACGGGGACCCGCACAAGCGGUGGAGCAUGUGGUUUAAUUCGAAGCAACGCGAAGAACCUUACCAAAUCUUGACAUCCUUUGACCGCUCUAGAGAUAGAGUCUUCCCCUUCGGGGGACAAAGUGACAGGUGGUGCAUGGUUGUCGUCAGCUCGUGUCGUGAGAUGUUGGGUUAAGUCCCGCAACGAGCGCAACCCUUAAGCUUAGUUGCCAUCAUUAAGUUGGGCACUCUAGGUUGACUGCCGGUGACAAACCGGAGGAAGGUGGGGAUGACGUCAAAUCAUCAUGCCCCUUAUGAUUUGGGCUACACACGUGCUACAAUGGAUAAUACAAAGGGCAGCGAAUCCGCGAGGCCAAGCAAAUCCCAUAAAAUUAUUCUCAGUUCGGAUUGUAGUCUGCAACUCGACUACAUGAAGCUGGAAUCGCUAGUAAUCGUAGAUCAGCAUGCUACGGUGAAUACGUUCCCGGGUCUUGUACACACCGCCCGUCACACCACGAGAGUUUGUAACACCCGAAGCCGGUGGAGUAACCUUUUAGGAGCUAGCCGUCGAA